AACCGGAUUAGAUACCCUGGUAGUCCAUGCCGUAAACGUUGGGCACUAGGUGUGGGGGACAUUCCACGUUUUCCGCGCCGUAGCUAACGCAUUAAGUGCCCCGCCUGGGGAGUACGGCCGCAAGGCUAAAACUCAAAGGAAUUGACGGGGGCCCGCACAAGCGGCGGAGCAUGCGGAUUAAUUCGAUGCAACGCGAAGAACCUUACCAAGGCUUGACAUGAACCGGAAUGAUGCAGAGAUGUGUCAGCCACUUGUGGCCGGUUUACAGGUGGUGCAUGGUUGUCGUCAGCUCGUGUCGUGAGACGUUGGGUUAAGUCCCGCAACGAGCGCAACCCUCGUUCCAUGUUGCCAGCGGGUUAUGCCGGGGACUCAUGGGAGACUGCCGGGGUCAACUCGGAGGAAGGUGGGGACGACGUCAAAUCAUCAUGCCCCUUAUGUCUUGGGCUUCACGCAUGCUACAAUGGCCGGUACAAAGGGUUGCGAUACUGUGAGGUGGAGCUAAUCCCAAAAAGCCGGU
This 517-nucleotide ribosomal RNA is filed under the name uncultured Arthrobacter sp. Its description in RNAcentral is "bacterial SSU rRNA". It matches the Rfam family "Bacterial small subunit ribosomal RNA", at positions 771 to 1286 of the family's 1533-position model. The record is from RNAcentral. Lineage: Bacteria; Bacillati; Actinomycetota; Actinomycetes; Micrococcales; Micrococcaceae.